This 490-nucleotide ribosomal RNA is filed under the name uncultured bacterium. RNAcentral describes it as "partial 16S ribosomal RNA". It matches the Rfam family "Bacterial small subunit ribosomal RNA", at positions 28 to 507 of the family's 1533-position model. The record is from RNAcentral.
GGUGAACGCUGGCGGUAGGCCUAACACAUGCAAGUCGAACGGCAGCACAGGAGAGCUUGCUCUCUGGGUGGCGAGUGGCGGACGGGUGAGGAAUACAUCGGAAUCUGCCCAGUCGUGGGGGAUAACGUAGGGAAACUUACGCUAAUACCGCAUACGACCUUCGGGUGAAAGAGGGGGAUCGCAAGACCUCUCGCGAUUGGAUGAGCCGAUGUCGGACUAGCUAGUUGGCGGGGUAAUGGCCCACCAAGGCGACGAUCCGUAGCUGGUCUGAGAGGAUGAUCAGCCACACUGGAACUGAGACACGGUCCAGACUCCUACGGGAGGCAGCAGUGGGGAAUAUUGGACAAUGGGCGCAAGCCUGAUCCAGCCAUACCGCGUGGGUGAAGAAGGCCUUCGGGUUGUAAAGCCCUUUUGUUGGGAAAGAAAUCUUUCAGGCUAAUACCCUGGGAGGAUGACGGUACCCAAAGAAUAAGCACCGGCUAACUUCGUG